Molecule: ribosomal RNA, 295 nt
Filed under: Bacillus sp. BGMRC 2118
Lineage: Bacteria; Bacillati; Bacillota; Bacilli; Caryophanales; Bacillaceae
Description: partial 16S ribosomal RNA
Rfam family: Bacterial small subunit ribosomal RNA
Source: RNAcentral
UUUAUUGGAGAGUUUGAUCCUGGCUCAGGACGAACGCUGGCGGCGUGCCUAAUACAUGCAAGUCGAGCGGACUGAUGGGAGCUUGCUCCCUGAUGUCAGCGGCGGACGGGUGAGUAACACGUGGGCAACCUGCCUGUAAGACUGGGAUAACUUCGGGAAACCGGAGCUAAUACCGGAUAAUUUCAGGAACCUCCUGGUUCCUGUAUAAAAGACGGUUUCGGCUGUCACUUACAGAUGGGCCCGCGGCGCAUUAGCUAGUUGGUGAGGUAACGGCUCACCAAGGCGACGAUGCGUA